CAGUAGCAGUUAAGCUGCCAGCAUGAUCUUGUCUUCCUCUCUUAAGUUUCAUAUAUAAUCAAGUUAAUAUAAAGAUUUUGUACAAUUCUUGUUCUUAUUAUAUGAUCAUAGCUUAGAGAGAGAGAGACUAGGUCAUGCUGGUAGUUUCACCUGCUAAUG
This 159-nucleotide microRNA precursor is filed under the name Arabidopsis lyrata. RNAcentral's name for it is "miR167c stem-loop (aly-MIR167c)". Its record names the gene aly-MIR167c. The record is from miRBase by way of RNAcentral. Lineage: Eukaryota; Viridiplantae; Streptophyta; Magnoliopsida; Brassicales; Brassicaceae.